GGUGACCAUACCACAUGCAUGCAGUGAUGGCUGAGGCCAGAAGAGGGCACCAGGUCCAAUGAAACUAGUAAGAGAUAGUUGUGAGCCGCCAUGUGGGUGCUGGGAAUUGUUUGUGGGUGCACUGCAAGAUCAGCCAGUGCACUUAAUGGGCUGAGCCAUCUUCUCACCACACCCCAACCUUUUUUAAAAGACAGGAUCCGGCUGUGUAGCCCAGGCAGGCUUGGAAUUCACAAUCCUCCUGCCUCAGCCACCCGAGUGCUGGAUUACUUACAGGUCAGGCCACCAUACUCAGCUUUUCUGCUUCUCUCUUUAGUUGUAUCCCAUGGAGAGUGGUGCCAUGCUUAACAUUUCUUUGUUUUAAAAUUUUUAAAUGGAGGUGUUUAUGUCUGUGUGCCAUGGGAGUGUGGGUGCACACGGAGACCAGAAAAAGAUAGGCAGUCAGCAAAGCUAGGGUUACAGGUGCUUGUGAACUAUGGGUGCUGAGAGCAGAAUUCAGGCCCUCUGGAACGGAGUUGCUGAGCUGUCUUCCCACCCUCUGCUGUAGUCUUUAAAAGUUAGUAGUGUAGCUAUCUCAGGCUAAAACUUGUGGGGCUUAUCUAAGCAAUGAAGCUGAGGCGUCCAGAUAAAAGUAUAGGGCUUGCACUGCUCCUGGCAUCCUCCCCAAAUGGCUGACAUUCAUCUCUGCAUAAGAAAUUGACCCGAGGUGGGCAAGGAUGGCUUUUUACUAGAAAAGGCCUAGACAGGGCCUUGGCUUACACUAGGUUUCAAGGUUCCCUCUUGGUGAUGUGGUCCACUGCAGUCACCUGCAGGUUUGUCUUCCCACGGAGGGGACUGGGAGUGGUGGUGGUGGUCACACUUGUGUGCCAGUGCCGUGCCAGUGCCCGGGAGCAAAUGCUGCAGGUUGGUGGUUAGCGUUGAAGUUUUACCCUUCCUCAGUUUGCUCUAGCCGUCUAGUGAGGGAGUCUGUGUCCCCUGUUUCAGCCCCUUGUCACUAGAAAUCUUUCAGUACAUGAUAUCUGGAAGCAGUUCCUAGCUAAGCACAGUGACCCAAGUCUGUAAUCCCAGCAUUUGGUGUGGGGAAGGGGGUGUAGAGGCAGGAGGAGCCAGAGAUAAAGCCUGUCUUUCCUACAUGGCAAGUCAGCGGGCAGCCUGGAUUACAUGAGAACCAGUAAAACCAAACAAAACCCAACCCUCCCCCCCCAAACAAAGCCCACUUAAUGCCUUUUGGAGUUCAGAAUGUAACUGAAGGUUUGCAUUAAUUAUAGGGGCUUUUGGUACUUCUCAGUCUCCAAAGUGUGCUAACCCCCAACUGUGAAGAGGAAAGCAGCUACCCUUAGCAGUGGUCUCAGUUAUCAGUUCACACUGGAGCCUCCCUCCAGUUCCAGCCUAGCUCUCUACUUGGCAAUGCUGUGCUCGACCCUCCUCAAAUCCCGUUCUGUGGUUUCAGUCCCUGUGCCAGUGGGCUUUAAUGAGCUGAGAAGGAAAAGCGAAAGUGCCCAGAUGAAUCCUGAGCUUUGGAAUCGACCCCUUGGAGGUGUGGCUUAGGCUCGCUCAGGUUUGGUCAGCUGGUUCAUCCCGAGCCUUUGGAAUUCCUGCUCCCAGUUUUUGUUUUGUUUUGUUUUUAUAGCAGGUUCAUGAAUACCUAGCAGACUCGUCUAAUAUUGUAAUUUACAUUUGAUACAAUUUUGACGAAAAUUGUGCUAAAGUGUGCUCUUCUGUCGCUUCUGUCACUUGUACGUACUCAUCCGAUAUUCAGCUUGGCUCUCAGCUCUCAGCACCUCCAUCACUUUAUCCUGCUCCCAGUACUUGGCUUAGCCCCACCAGGGUCUCCUGCUGUAGCACCUGCUUGUCUGAGGCUCCCUUUGUAAUCCAGCCUAGCCUCGAAUUCGCAACCUCCUCCUUCAGCCUCUCCAAGGCUCGGUUCACAAGGCGAGUCACUACCAUGUCCAGCAAGUGGUUUUUUAAUUAAUAUCUGAUCCGUAUUUUAUAUUUUAAGUUACUCAUUUCUUGUAGACGCGUAGAAAUCAGAGGACAAUUUUGUGGAGGCGAUUCUUCUAUUUUUACGAACUCAGACGGCUUUAGCCGCUGACAGCCCUCUCGCAGGCCGCGGUUAUAGGAUUUGUAUUGAAUCCUUUCCCGAAUUACUUGGGCUUGUGACGAAUGUGCGGGAGCCUGACUGUUGACAGCUUGGCUUGUGGGGGGCGGGAGGGGGCGGCUAGAACUCGCGCAUGCGCGGCGCUCCGGGAGACAGCGUUCAUAGGCCCCGCCUCUGUGUUCUGCAGUUUGGCUCUGCAGAUUCGCCGGUCACGUUUCUUUUUUCCGCGGAGCUUACUGUUCUUUGUUCCGGUCUUCCUGUCGUCCUCGACACGGUUUUUUUUCAGAGCAAAAGCUUGAGUCGGUGCUAUGCUUUUCUCGGUACGCAGCGGGCCCUUCGGCUUGUAGCGAAAGUGUGGCUGCGGAAGAGCAGGUACUCGCGGAGCUCGGCGGAGGCGCGUUGGGGCUCCCGGCGACUGCGACGACGACGACGACGACGACGACGAACGGAGCGGACGGAGGCGGCGCUUGAGGCAGCGGCGAAGCCCAUGCCCCGGAACGGCGGGAGGACCCGGAGAGACGAGUCCGGGGCCCGGGGCAUGUCCCCGGGGCCCCCGUGAGGAGGAGGAGGCGGCGGCGAUGGAGAUCCCGCCGCAGGAGGCUCCGCCCGGGCCGGGCGCGGACGCCGACGCGGACGCGGAGGCCGAGACCGAGGAGGCCUCCGCCGAAGCUGAGUCUCCUACCGGGACCUCGCCCCCGGCCGAUGGCCGCCUUAAGGCUGCUGCCAAGCGUGUCACGUUCCCAUCUGACGAGGACAUCGUGUCUGGAGCGGUGGAGCCCAAAGACCCCUGGAGACACGCCCAGAAUGUGACGGUGGACGAGGUGAUCAGUGCCUACAGACAGGCCUGCCAGAAGCUGAACUGCCGACAAAUCCCCAAGCUCCUCAGGCAGCUGCAGGAGUUCACGGAUCUUGAGCAACGCAUCAACUGCCUGGACCUGAAAGGGGAGAAGCUUGAUUAUAAGACCUGUGAGGCUCUGGAGGAGGUCUUUAAGAGGCUGCAGUUCAAGGUUGUGGACCUGGAGCAAACCAACUUAGAUGAGGAUGGUGCCUCAGCCCUCUUUGACAUGAUUGAGUACUACGAGUCGGCCACCCACCUCAACAUCUCUUUCAACAAGCACAUCGGCACUCGGGGCUGGCAGGCUGCUGCCCACAUGAUGCGCAAGACAAGUUGCCUACAGUACCUAGAUGCCCGCAACACACCCCUGCUGGACCACUCGGCACCCUUUGUGGCUCGCGCCCUGCGCAUCCGCAGCAGCCUGGCAGUGCUGCACCUAGAAAAUGCCAGCCUGUCCGGGCGGCCCCUCAUGCUGCUGGCCACAGCCCUGAAGAUGAACAUGAACCUCCGAGAACUGUACUUGGCAGACAACAAGCUCAACGGUCUGCAGGACUCUGCCCAGCUGGGCAACUUGCUCAAAUUCAACUGCUCCCUGCAAAUUCUGGACCUGCGGAACAACCACGUGCUGGACUCAGGUCUGGCCUACAUCUGCGAGGGUCUCAAGGAGCAGAGGAAAGGGCUGGUGACCCUGGUGCUGUGGAACAACCAGCUCACACACACGGGCAUGGCCUUCUUGGGCAUGGCACUGCCACACACACAGAGUCUGGAGACACUGAACCUGGGCCACAACCCCAUUGGGAACGAGGGUGUACGAAACCUCAAGAAUGGGCUCAUCAGCAACCGCAGUGUGCUGCGCCUCGGCCUCGCCUCAACCAAGCUCACGUGCGAGGGUGAACCACUCCCUGCUUCGAUUGGACCUGGACCGAGAGCCCAAGAAAGAGCCGGUGAAGAGCUUCAUCGAGACGCAGAAGGCACUACUGGCUGAGAUCCAGAACGGCUGCAAGCGCAACUUUGUGCUGGUUCGAGAGCGUGAGGAGAAGCAGCAGCUGCAGCUGUCAGCCUCCAUGCCUGAGAUCACCAUCACUGCACCGCAGCCCCUGGAAGAGUCUGGGGAGCUGCCAGCCGUCGGGUCUCAGAAUGGGGCCCCUCGCCCUGGACCUGGCCCUGACUCAGACUCAGACUCAGACUCUGACAGGGAGGAGCAGGAGGAAGAGGAGGAGGACCAACGAAACCAGCAGAGGGAUGAGGGGGGCAACGACCAGAGCUCCUUGGCCUCCUGCCCUGCCCUCAUACCUUCCACAGACUCCCUAGGCCCUGGUGACAAGAGCCCCCCAAGCAGCCCCUCCUCUCCCACUGAGCAGCGUAUUUCUGUCUCCAGCCCAGGCCGAGGCCACAAGGUAUUUGUGGUGACCCGGGUGGAGAGUCCACCUGAGAGGCCAGAGCCCCCUGUUCCUCCCACCUUUGUCUCCUCUCCUCCACCCUCUCCUCCCUCCCCGCCUGCCUCUCCACCAUCUCAGACCAUGGACACCCAGGACCCAGAGUCAUCUGAGGCUCAGCCCCAGCUGGAGCCAUCUCAGGCAGGGCAGCCACUGCCCAAUGGCCUGAAGCCUGAGUUUGCCCUCGCACUUCCCCCAGAGCCUCCCCCAGGGCUGGAGGCUAAGGGAGGCAGCUGCAGCCUGGAGCACGCACUGCACCGCUCCCAGGGUGUUAGCAAGCUGGAGGAACUGCUUCUAGAGGCCAGUCAGGAGGCCCCGCGGGACACACUGUGACACUUUCUUUUGUUCCGGACGUCUGUGAUGAGCUGAAGCCAUCCCCAAGGGUCUGCUGACUCCCCGCCUAGUCGUCCCACAGGAGACCAGGCAGAGCAUCCCAGGCCUCGCCACAACAACACUACAGCCACUAGGGGCACAGGGCUGGGAGUGGCUUCCUGGACUUGAGAGCAUAUUUAUGUGUCUGCCACUCCCCAGGGUGGGGCUUCGGCAGACUGGAGGAAGAAGAUGCAAGGAGCUCUCCAGGGUCACCAGCCACAAGGCUGUCCUGGUCUUGGAGAGCCCAGUGACCAGCCUGUCCUGGGAGGAUUAGGAGUCGGGUCAGACGUACAACGGCUCCUGACCCCUCUCGGGACCUAGCUGGUGAGCGUGGUGGUAGUUUGCCAGCCCCUGUGGGGUGGGGCCAGCGAGAAGGAACAGAGCUUUUUUUCUAAAGUGCAAUAAAAUCUAUCAGGGAGCUGGGCAAGCAGCAGUGUAGUUCUGGGACCCUGCUGCCCGGGCCACUGAGGCUGCGCCCUGGCAGGCACUACAGCAGUGGGCAGUGGGUGGGUGGACGGUGAGGGUGGGCUGGGCUGGGCCACUCCUGUUGGAGCAGCUCUCACACCUUUUCUAAUAAACGGAGCUGGGGUCA
Molecule: RNA transcript, 5330 nt
Organism: Mus musculus (house mouse)
Lineage: Eukaryota; Metazoa; Chordata; Mammalia; Rodentia; Muridae
Gene: Ppp1r37
Gene name: protein phosphatase 1, regulatory subunit 37
Exons: 13
Source: RefSeq, marked provisional